AGGCGCCUACAGGGCAGCGCCAGCCGGCGGGCGGCUCUGAAUCUGGACCUGGGCCUGGGCCUCAGCGCGGGCGGAGGCGAAGGCCUGUUUGAGGGAGUGGUCGCCGGGGAAAUUGGCAUCUCGUUGCAAAAAAGUAUCCAAGGAGCGCGGGAGAGCUCGGCGUAGAGUGGGCGUCCAGUCACUUGUCCCUGUGAUGAGGUUCACAGCAGAGCUGGAAUUUGAACUCUCU
RNAcentral lists this long non-coding RNA (229 nucleotides) under Homo sapiens (human). Its description in RNAcentral is "HSALNT0394306". The record is from RNAcentral. Lineage: Eukaryota; Metazoa; Chordata; Mammalia; Primates; Hominidae.